AUGAUCAGAGCCACACAUGGCGGGUCAACAAAGAGAGUUGUUUUGAGACUUGCCAGGAAACCUAAAUUGGCCAAACUGGAAUACAUGAAGCAAAACUCGUUUGUUAUGAACCAAAUGCUUCCGUUCUCCUCCAACUUGGGCGGAGCUCCCCGGGAGCAGCUCCUCCCUCUCCCCCAGACAUUCCCAAGGCUUUUGUCACUGAACGCCCCCCUCCCCCGCAGGGCAGGCGGUGUUUACUCCUCCUGGGGGGCCGGCCCCUCCUCGCCCUCCAGAGGCGCCCGUGGCCAUCUCAUCCCUUCUCCUCCAGGUGACAGGGGGAACAGGAGCAGCCGGCCCGACCUAGCGCUCGCCAAACGCCAGGCCGUCUUCCGAGGGCUUUGCAGCUGCCGACUCACUUCCUCGUCAACCUCCCAGCUGCGGCUGUUACUCUACGCAUUUUACAGAUGAAAAACUCCAGGCAAAGCCAGCUGAAGUAGCUUUCCCGACAGCACACAGGCAGAAAGAGGCAGCGGGGAGACCCGAGCUCGGGCGGGCUGCGGCCAGAGCCCCGGCUCUUAACUAGGGAGCAUCUAACGGAACCGUGGCAGGACAGGACCUUCAAAACCCUCAAGUACGCGGGAAACGUAGAUUGCAGUGUAUGCUCUCGCUGUGGCUUGAGUGGAUCCCCAGAAGUCUAAGCUCAUUCCUUCCUGGGGCAGUCUUGGGAGAGGGGGCCGAGGGGAGGGAGUUUGGGUGGUGGGGACAGAGCCCUUGUGUCCUUUUCUUGUGAGUUCUCCCUCUUCCCUUCCAGUUUCUCCAACGAAGUGGAAAAAGCAAGAAGCCCUCCCCAGAAGCCAGGCAGAUGUCGGUCCCAUGCUCUUAGAUCCCUAGCAUCCAGAGCCACCAGUCAGAAUAAACCUUUUUUCUUUAUAAAUUAUCUAGUCUCAGGGAUUCUGUUAUAGUAACAGCAAAUAGACUCUAGGAGUUUUACAGAUACUGGGUCUAGUGUUACAUUUUUAAAUGACUACAAUUUUUUAAAGAGUUGUUUAACUCUUUUCCUGUGGAAGAUCUCUCCCCUUGGGUAUCUCAGAGAUAUCAGUGUUUGUCAGAAUGAAAGCUUAGACUAUUUUUUGUAUCGUGCCCGCCAAUCUGCUCAUUCUCUUUUGAUCCACGCUGCAGCAAAUGCAGCAAAUGGCUGUCUACCUCCUGUCCUCCCAGAUACCCUCCCCCAGCGCCAUGGCAACGGGGUCUCCUGAAGCCAGGUGGGAUGGAGGUGGGGAAUGGGAGCGAAGCAAGCACAGAGGACUUUCUGCUUUCUGAUGGGGAAUUAGCUCCCAAGGUGGGGCAGACUGUGGGAGGAACAGGUCUGGACCUGUUAGAUGUCAGAUGUCUGGGAUUUUAAAAGGGCGACACUGCACUGUGGCUCAGCCCUCUGAUGAUACGAUCAAGUCCAAAGCAAACAAGAGAGACCGUUCACUAAAACUGCUUUAGCAUUACUCCGGCUAUAUUUACUUUUUUUUUUUUUUUUUGUCCUUUUGAGGCAGGGUCUCGCUAUGCAGUUCAGGCUGGCCUUGAGCUCACUUUGUAGCCCAGGCUAAUCUCAAACUUGCAAUGAUCCUCCUGCUUCAGCCUCCUGAGUGCUGGGAUUACAGGCAUUCACCACCAUGGCUGGCUAUUUUAAACAAUUUUAUAAAGCUUGAGUUCCUUAUUUAUUGAACUGUUAAGGACCUAAAGAAUCGUGUAUAAUUUUGAGUUGGACUCUUAUUUCACUUCAUGGGUGGCAGUAUGUGCUUUGGUGGUCUUUGGUGGUUUGGGUGUCCCUGUCAAGGUGAUGGGAGAAGCCCUCAUGAAUGUCAAAAGUCUUCUCUAGCUGUAACAGACAAUGUAUCAACUCAUUUGUCAUGAUGCUUCAUGUGCAGGGGCUGGUUGGUGUGUAGUACAUAGGUAGAUGAUGGUAAUCUCUUAUCUAGCAUCUACUAUGUGCUGGGCAUUCGGUUACACUUUGUAUAAACAUAGCUCCCCUCCUCCCACAUUCUGUGUGCCAUGCAUCUGACGUGUGAGGAAGGCAAGGUGCAGAGAAGCUCAAUAGCUGGCGUUGGAUUGCGGAACCAGCAAGGUGUGGGCUCUGGCUUUGGGCCCAGGUCUGGGCUGAGUAGGAGGCUUGGCUUCCGGGGGAGUCUGGGUUGUUUCAUCCAUGCAGGGAAGGGGGUCUCUGGGAGGUGUUUAGGCCCUAAGGCCUGUGGCCUCAUGAAUGCAUUGAUGCCACUGUUACAAGGGCUGAUGGGAGCAGCUUGUCCCUCUCCUGCUGUUCUACUGUGUGAAGACUCAGCAUGGAAAAGCCCUCAUCGGAUGCUGGCACCUUGAUCCUGGACUCCCCAGGGACUGGAGCUGAAUACAUUUCUGUUCUUUAUAAGCUACCCACCCUCAGGCACUCUGUUACAGCAGCACAAAGCAGACUAAGACAUCCUGGCCCUUCUGUUCUAUAUGUUAGAAGAGCCCACGCUAUUUCCAGGGUGCACGAGGAGUACAUGCCUAUCAGGGAGUGGGGAUCCUUGGUGACACGUAUUCAAAUAAACACCAGUGGUAACAACAAUAAGACUAGCUGCGAGGAGUGAACGCUUGCUCUGACUUAGGCGUGGCACGAGGCCCCCGAGGAACCUUCCACGACUCCUCUGCUCACUCAGGUUUGCCGGGCGGCCAGCACUGCAGGUACUGGGGACAGAGUGACAAACGAAGUGCACUUCUUGUUCUGGAGGUGCUCGUGUCUGGAGGUGUGGUUUGUUCUGAUUUUACAAACGAGAAGAAAGGUCAUAAGCUGGCCAGUGGGACUUCAAGUCAAUUUUACAAAGACAGCACACUUCUCGAGUCUGCAAGACCGAGGACAUCUCUAGGCACCAAGGGGUCAUGCUUCAACCCCUCAACCAAGGACCACAGGGAGGAGGAAGAAGUCAUACAGAAUAUGCACAGCAUAAUUCCAGUGAUACAGGUUUUGGACAUAGGUGCUGGCAUCAUGGGCCAUGUAUAGUAGAAAUGACAAAGGGAACAAAAAAAGCGAGAGCUGGAUAUGGGGGCACAGGGAUGUAACCCCAAAUACUUGGGAAGCUGAGGCAGGCGGAUUGCAAGUUUGAGGCCAGCUUGGGCAACUGAGUGAGAUCUUAUCUCAGAAUAAAAAAUGGAUUGGAGAUGUAGUUCAGUACAAAAGCCUUGAGUUCGCCGGGCGUGGUGGCGCACGCCUGUCAUCCCAGCGCUCAGGAGGCUGAGGCAGGAGGAUCAUUGCGAGUUCAAGACCAGCCUGGGCUACAAAGUGAGUUCAAGGCCAGCCUGAGCUGCAUAGCGAAACCCUGUCUCAAAAAGACAAAAAAAAAGCCCUGAGUUCAGUUCCCAGUAUAACAAAUAAACAAAUAAGACUGGGAUGUAACUCAGUGUAAAGGACCUAGGUUCAAUCUCUAGUAGCACAUACACACACACACACACACACACACACUCACACGGAAGAGAGAAGGGCAGGAAGGGAAGAGAAGGGAAGGGGGAAAAAGCAAGGAAGGGGCUUCCCGCAGGCAACACGGCAAUCAUUUUGGAGGAAGGGGAUGUGAGGGGGCCGCGUCCAGGGUUUCCCAGGGAGCUGGGGAGCUAGCACUAUCCUACACUUAGUGGUGGGCAUGUGGUGUUCAGUCCACAGCCACACGUUAAGCUGCACCUGUGUGUCUUACUUCCAUCUCUGUGUGCUGUGUCUCACCAUAAAUAAAGAGCAACACGAAUGCUCGUGCUGGGUGGGAAGCUAUUUGCUUGUCUCAGGUGUGGCACCUGAGACAGCCGGCGAAGAGCUCCCUUCCCUAAGAUGCGGGGAUGUAAAGUCUCCUGAGCCCACGCGUCUGCCACGUGGGUGCGUUCACAGCCUGGCUCACCCCACCCUUUAUCUGUGCUGCACCCGA
Chinchilla lanigera (long-tailed chinchilla) is the source of this 3911-nucleotide long non-coding RNA. Lineage: Eukaryota; Metazoa; Chordata; Mammalia; Rodentia; Chinchillidae. The record is from Ensembl.